Molecule: ribosomal RNA, 497 nt
Filed under: uncultured bacterium
Lineage: Bacteria
Description: partial 16S ribosomal RNA
Rfam family: Bacterial small subunit ribosomal RNA
Source: RNAcentral
GAUGAACGCUGGCGGCGUGCCUAAUACAUGCAAGUCGAGCGAACGGACGAGAAGCUUGCUUCUCUGAUGUUAGCGGCGGACGGGUGAGUAACACGUGGAUAACCUACCUAUAAGACUGGGAUAACUUCGGGAAACCGGAGCUAAUACCGGAUAAUAUUUUGAACCGCAUGGUUCAAAAGUGAAAGACGGUCUUGCUGUCACUUAUAGAUGGAUCCGCGCUGCAUUAGCUAGUUGGUAAGGUAACGGCUUACCAAGGCAACGAUGCAUAGCCGACCUGAGAGGGUGAUCGGCCACACUGGAACUGAGACACGGUCCAGACUCCUACGGGAGGCAGCAGUAGGGAAUCUUCCGCAAUGGGCGAAAGCCUGACGGAGCAACGCCGCGUGAGUGAUGAAGGUCUUCGGAUCGUAAAACUCUGUUAUUAGGGAAGAACAUAUGUGUAAGUAACUGUGCACAUCUUGACGGUACCUAGUCAGAAAGCCACGGCUAACUAUGUG